This 27-nucleotide unclassified non-coding RNA is filed under the name Mus musculus (house mouse). Its description in RNAcentral is "oocyte_clustered_small_RNA5192". The record is from RNAcentral. Lineage: Eukaryota; Metazoa; Chordata; Mammalia; Rodentia; Muridae.
UGAAGCUAGUACUGCUAACACUGACAU